CCGUGCUGACAGCCCCAAGCAAUGCUUCGCACCAGCCUGGGGAGUCACGCCGUCUGCGCAGGAGUUAGAGGAGUCAGCCUGGGGGUGUUUUAUGAACUCAGCUGCUGGAGCACAGGGACACGAAGCUGAAAUAGGAAGACCAUCUAGUGAAGCCCUCGUUCAAAGUCACAACUUCGGCUCUGCCCUUCUUGCCAAGGUGGACUGGCGGAUUUCGUCGGUGAGAGGAGCUGGUGUUUGGCAGACAAACCUCAGACUGAAUCCUUGGCAGGAGCAGCUACGUUGGUGAUGGAAUUAAAGUUUCAUUUUAAAAUAAUUUCUAGGCCCCAUGUUUAUGAUGAAUGAAUUCUGUGUUUGCUACAAGCAGAGAGGAUGAAGAAUAUUGCUGUGUUACAGUCUUGCUUGUUUCAGUUGCUCAGUGAAUGUGAACUGCCCGAAAAGACAACUGCUUCUGUAUCAGCUUUAAGUAUUUCUCUGCUAUAUUUGCCUCAGCUGGAGUGUCUGGGACGUGGUUACUCUGCAAAUAUUGCCAUGGUGGAUGUUUCGGGUGAAUACGCUUGGGAUAGAGUUUCCAAGCAGGAAGAUUCAGAUAAACAGCCGCUUCGAGGUGAAAAUUAGGGAGUUCACGUUACACCCAUCUCUUGAAUUUGUAACUGACUAUUCACCCUGAAAAUCUGAUUCUAAGAACUCAGCGUGUCCCAUUGGGAGCAGAAUAAUACCACAGAAACCGUGGCCAGCCUGAGUCUUGAAUAUUGAGAAUUGUGAUUAACUUCUCAGGAAUGUAUGCGGAGCAAGUCAUAUUUUCUGGGCUUUUUUAGGUAAUUAUUUCAAAACUUGAAUCUGUGAAUGAAGAUUAUAAACAGUUCCCAGGCAAACAUCUUAGAGAAGGACGUGAAAUGCAUCAAAUAAAUAAUGGGUUCUGACCUGUUCA
Long non-coding RNA from Pygoscelis adeliae (Adelie penguin), 928 nucleotides. RefSeq lists it as uncharacterized. The record is from RefSeq and is a predicted model, not a curated record. Lineage: Eukaryota; Metazoa; Chordata; Aves; Sphenisciformes; Spheniscidae. The transcript has 2 exons.